This 642-nucleotide long non-coding RNA is filed under the name Equus caballus (horse). Its description in RNAcentral is "lncRNA (ENSECAG00000059162.1)". Lineage: Eukaryota; Metazoa; Chordata; Mammalia; Perissodactyla; Equidae. The record is from RNAcentral.
CAAAAAUGGCCUUUGCACCCCAUUGUUCUUAUUUCUACAUUUCAGGAUUUGGGUGGUUCUGAUGUUGCAAUCUCCGAUUUAGACUUCUUUGGUUUCUAGUAGCUACCUGAUUCUACCUGGUUAAGCUACAUGGGAAUUUAUUAGCAGGAUCUUGGGUACCGCACAGAAUGAAGGAGACUUUGAAUACUCAACCAUGUAAAGGAGGGCAUCAGGGAAGUCUCGGGGAUGUAGAUAAUAGAAACUAGUGGCCACUCUCUUCAGGAUUCUGCUAGUGGAAUGCAUGUGUUGCAAAUAGUUUCAGUUCUUUCGGCUUUUCAGGGAAGGAGAGUUGGGUUGGCUUCUCUUAGGUCGGGAAUGGGUUGAAUAGUAUCCCCUCAAAAUUCAUGUCUACCUGGAACCUGAGAUUGUGCGACCUUAUUUGGAAUCAGUGUCUUUGCAGAUGUAAAUAAGGCAUUAGCCAUUAUUCCAUUUUGACCUGUGACAGCUGCAUCACAGGGUGUAACGGGAAAUUACCUAGGGGACACCUGAAGCUAAGUUCCAACCGCCAAGGCAGCAGCGGCAGCCUCUGACCUCAGCUGCUGUGGUCCACCUGGGUAACAAGGCACUGCACAUCAGCAGAAGGAGGAACGGGACCAGCCCAGA